Unclassified non-coding RNA from Macaca fascicularis (crab-eating macaque), 148 nucleotides. It matches the Rfam family "Metazoan signal recognition particle RNA". From Rfam's summary of the family: The signal recognition particle (SRP) is a universally conserved ribonucleoprotein. The record is from Ensembl. Lineage: Eukaryota; Metazoa; Chordata; Mammalia; Primates; Cercopithecidae.
GCCGGGCAUGUUGGCAGGUGCCUGUAGUCCCAGCUACCUGGGAGGCUGAGGUGGGAGAAUCACUUGAACCCAGGAGGUGGAGGCUGCAGUGAGCUAAGAUUGUGCCAGUGCCCUCCAGCCUGGGUAACAGAGUGAGACCCUGUCUCAA